Molecule: ribosomal RNA, 437 nt
Filed under: uncultured bacterium
Lineage: Bacteria
Description: partial 16S ribosomal RNA
Rfam family: Bacterial small subunit ribosomal RNA
Source: RNAcentral
GAUGAACGCUGGCGGCAUGCUUUACACAUGCAAGUCGGACGGGUAGUGGUGUUUCCUGUGGCGGCCGGGUGAGGUACGCGUUAGAAACUGCCCUUGGGAGUGGGACAACAGCUGGAAACGGCCUCUUAUAACCCGUAGGCAUCGCAGCGUCAGGGGGAAUUCGCCCGAGGAUGGGCGCGCGUCUGAUUAGCUAGUUGGUGAGGUAAUAGCUUACCAAGGCCGCGAUCCGUAGCUGGUCCGAGAGGAUGAUCAGCCACACUGGGACUGAGACAAGGCCCAGACUCCUACGGGAGACGGCAGUGGGGAAUUUUCCGCAAUGGGCGAAAGACUGACGGAGCAAUGCGGCGUGGAGGUAAAGGGGCUACGAGGCAUGAACUGCUUUUCCUGGAGAAGAAACAAUGACGGUACCUGGGGAAUAAGCAUCGGCUAACUCUGUG